UGGCUUGACUCACUGGCUACAUAAUAUUUGU
This 31-nucleotide non-coding RNA is filed under the name Rattus norvegicus (Norway rat). Lineage: Eukaryota; Metazoa; Chordata; Mammalia; Rodentia; Muridae. The record is from RNAcentral.